RNAcentral lists this non-coding RNA (21 nucleotides) under Caenorhabditis elegans. Lineage: Eukaryota; Metazoa; Nematoda; Chromadorea; Rhabditida; Rhabditidae. The record is from RNAcentral.
UGGUACAACUUUUCUGUUUUU